Molecule: small RNA, 107 nt
Filed under: Marmota monax (woodchuck)
Lineage: Eukaryota; Metazoa; Chordata; Mammalia; Rodentia; Sciuridae
Source: RNAcentral
GCUGGGCCUGGGAGCACAUACCUGUAAUCCCAGCUACUUGGGAGGCUGAGGUAGGAGGAUCUCAAGUUCAAGGCCAGCCUCAGCAACUUAGUGAGACCCUGUCUCAA